This 845-nucleotide ribosomal RNA is filed under the name uncultured organism. Its description in RNAcentral is "bacterial SSU rRNA". It matches the Rfam family "Bacterial small subunit ribosomal RNA", at positions 504 to 1340 of the family's 1533-position model. The record is from RNAcentral.
CGUGCCAGCAGCCGCGGUAAUACGGAGGGGGCAAGCGUUGCUCGGAAUCACUGGGCUUAGAGCGGGCGUAGGCGGUCCGGUCAGUCGGAUGUGAAAUCCCUCGGCUUAACCGAGGAAGGGCAUCCGAUACUGCCGGGCUUGAGGCAUUCAGGGGCGACUGGAACUCUCGGUGGAGCGGUGAAAUGCGUAGAUAUCGAGAGGAACGCCAAUGGCGAAGGCAGGUCGCUAGGGAUGUCCUGACGCUGAGGCCCGAAAGCCAGGGGAGCGAACGGGAUUAGAUACCCCGGUAGUCCUGGCCCUAAACGAUGCACACUAGGUGGGGGAGGGUCUGACGCCCAUCCCUGCCGCAGGGAAACCGUUAAGUGUGCCGCCUGGGGAGUACGGUCGCAAGGCUGAAACUCAAAGGAAUUGACGGGGGCUCACACAAGCGGUGGAGCAUGUGGCUCAAUUCGAGGCAACGCGAAGAACCUUAUCCUGGGCUUGACAUGCAGGCAGUAGGACCCCGAAAGGGGAACAACCGGUUCAGCCCGGAACCUGCACGGGUGCUGCAUGGCUGUCGUCAGCUCGUGCUGUGAAGUGUCGGGUUAAGUCCCUUAACGAGCGAAACCCUUGCCCUUAGUUACCAGCGGGUCAUGCCGGGGACUCUAAGGGGACUGCCGCGGUGAACGCGGAGGAAGGUGGGGAUGACGUCAAGUCCUCAUGGCCUUUAUGCCCAGGGCUGCACACGUGCUACAAUGGCAGGUACAGCGGGACGCGAAGCCGCGAGGCGGAGCCAAUCCCUAAAAGCCUGCCCCAGUUCGGAUUGCAGGCUGCAACUCGCCUGCAUGAAGGUGGAAUCGCUAGUA